GACGGGGAGCACCACAACGGGUGGAGCUUGCGGUUUAAUUGGAUUCAACGCCGGAAAUCUUACCGGACCGACAGCAAUAUGAAGGCCAGGCUGAAGACUUUGCCGGAUUAGCUGAGAGGCGGUGCAUGGCCGUCGUCAGUUCGUACUGUGAAGCAUCCUGUUAAGUCAGGCAACGAGCGAGACCCACGCCCACAGUUGCCAGCGUACUCUCUGGAGUGACGGGUACACUGUGGGACCGCCGCUGCUAAAGCGGAGGAAGGAAUGGGCAACGGUAGGUCAGUAUGCCCCGAAUAUCCCGGGCUACACGCGAGCUACAAUGGUUGGUACAAUGGGUAUCUACCCCGAAAGGGGACGGGAAUCUCCUAAAACCAAUCUUAGUUCGGAUUGAGGGCUGCAACUCGCCCUCAUGAAGCUGGAAUCCGUAGUAAUCGCGUUUCAACAGAACGCGGUGAAUACGUCCCUGCUCCUU
This 469-nucleotide ribosomal RNA is filed under the name uncultured Methanosaeta sp. RNAcentral describes it as "bacterial SSU rRNA". It matches the Rfam family "Archaeal small subunit ribosomal RNA", at positions 871 to 1337 of the family's 1478-position model. The record is from RNAcentral. Lineage: Archaea; Methanobacteriati; Methanobacteriota; Methanomicrobia; Methanotrichales; Methanotrichaceae.